RNAcentral lists this signal recognition particle RNA (99 nucleotides) under Candidatus Aminicenantota bacterium. Its description in RNAcentral is "signal recognition particle sRNA small type". It matches the Rfam family "Bacterial small signal recognition particle RNA". Rfam says of the family: The signal recognition particle (SRP) is a universally conserved ribonucleoprotein involved in the co-translational targeting of proteins to membranes. Lineage: Bacteria; Candidatus Aminicenantota. The record is from RNAcentral.
AUCCAGGAGCCUGGCGGUGCCGUGCCUUGAACCGUGUCAGGCCCGAGAGGGAGCAGCACUAAGGGGAAUCCGGCAAGUGACCGGGAUCUCCUGGAUCUC